This 497-nucleotide ribosomal RNA is filed under the name uncultured bacterium. RNAcentral describes it as "partial 16S ribosomal RNA". It matches the Rfam family "Bacterial small subunit ribosomal RNA", at positions 28 to 507 of the family's 1533-position model. The record is from RNAcentral.
GACGAACGCUGGCGGCGUGCCUAAUACAUGCAAGUUGAGCGCUGAAGGUUGGUACUUGUACCGACUGGAUGAGCAGCGAACGGGUGAGUAACGCGUGGGGAAUCUGCCUUUGAGCGGGGGACAACAGUUGGAAACGAAUGCUAAUACCGCAUAAAAACUUUAAACACAAGUUUUAAGUUUGAAAGAUGCAAUUGCAUCACUCAAAGAUGAUCCCGCGUUGUAUUAGCUAGUUGGUGAGGUAAAGGCUCACCAAGGCGAUGAUACAUAGCCGACCUGAGAGGGUGAUCGGCCACAUUGGGACUGAGACACGGCCCAAACUCCUACGGGAGGCAGCAGUAGGGAAUCUUCGGAAAUGGACGAAAGUCUGACCGAGCAACGCCGCGUGAGUGAAGAAGGUUUUCGGAUCGUAAAACUCUGUUGGUAGAGAAGAACGUUGGUGAGAGUGGAAAGCUCAUCAAGUGACGGUAACUACCCAGAAAGGGACGGCUAACUACGUG